RNAcentral lists this long non-coding RNA (730 nucleotides) under Vigna radiata. RNAcentral describes it as "long non-coding RNA (VRAD_LNC010145)". The record is from RNAcentral. Lineage: Eukaryota; Viridiplantae; Streptophyta; Magnoliopsida; Fabales; Fabaceae.
AAAAAAAUAUAAAUAAAAAUAAAAUAAAAUAAAAUAUAAAAAAACAAAACAAAACAAAAUAAAAUAAAAUAUAAAAAAACAAAACAAAAUAAAAUAACACGAAAUCAAAUCAAAUUAAAUCAAAUAACAACAAAUAAAAUAAAAUCAAAUCAAAUAAAUAAAAAAAAAAUGAAACACUCAAACUGUAUUUCCUUUUUCUUCCUAUGAUCGUUCUUUAGGUGAGGAGGGACUUUUUCAUAUGAUUUUUUCUUUUUGCUUUCAUCCUUCCUCUCUCUCUUUUUCUCUUUGGGAUACUCCUUAAGGCACAAAGGACUUUUCUUUUAUCUCUCAACCUUCUCUUUUUCUUCCUCUACAUCCUUCUCCUUUUCUCUCAAACAUUCUUUUUCUUCUCUCUCAUCUUCUUCAUUUUCUACCUCUUUCUCUUUCUCACUCAAACUUUCUUCUUCUUCUCUCUCUAUUUUUAUCUCAUCCUCUUUCUCUUCUUCUUCUUGAUCUCUAUCGCUCAAACUCUCUUCUUUUCUCUCUAUUUUUCUCACGUUGUUUUCUCGUUCUUGUCGCUUGGGCUUCGGGUUUUCCAUCUUCUUGGUGCUUUUUUGACCCCUUUUGAGCUCCAUCUUCUAUACUUUUCACUUCUUCUUCCAGCAUUGCUUCAAUCUCUGCCAAAACAAGGGGAAUUUGUUAGAAAACUGUUGAAAUCAACCUCAACUCUCUUAUUCACACAAUUUAUUGA